UACGGAGGAUGCGAGCGUUAUCCGGAUUUAUUGGGUUUAAAGGGUGCGUAGGCGGAUCGUUAAGUCAGUGGUUAAAUUGAGGGGCUCAACCCCUUCCCGCCAUUGAAACUGGCGAUCUUGAGUGGAAGAGAAGUAUGCGGAAUGCGUGGUGUAGCGGUGAAAUGCAUAGAUAUCACGCAGAACCCCGAUUGCGAAGGCAGCAUGCCGGCUUCCUACUGACGCUGAAGCACGAAAGCGUGGGGAUCGAACAGG
This 252-nucleotide ribosomal RNA is filed under the name uncultured bacterium. Its description in RNAcentral is "partial 16S ribosomal RNA". It matches the Rfam family "Bacterial small subunit ribosomal RNA", at positions 524 to 776 of the family's 1533-position model. The record is from RNAcentral.